Gossypium arboreum is the source of this 367-nucleotide long non-coding RNA. RefSeq lists it as uncharacterized. The record is from RefSeq and is a predicted model, not a curated record. Lineage: Eukaryota; Viridiplantae; Streptophyta; Magnoliopsida; Malvales; Malvaceae. The transcript is spliced from 2 exons.
AACCCAAACUUAAAAAUUGAAAAGUAAAAACCCAACUACUACUUUCAAGUGUCAGCGGAAACUUUCAGUGGAGUCAACAUUUCAACAUUUCCCUAAUCAGAAAGGGUUAUAACCGUGGGAAUGAGGAAGAACAUAAAGAACUCUCAACAAUUACUCUAAAAGGAAGUGAAGAAGAAAGGGAGAAAGUUGAACCGAGAAUUAAAGAGAAAAGAGACUCUUUGUGUUUUAGUAGGUAUUGUAUCGAUGUAUCUAAAUUCUUAAUUUCUUUGAAACAAAGUUGUUCGUAGGUUGAAUCUUUGUUUCAUGAUGUAUUUUGGUGAGAAAUAUGUUUGACUUGUUAAUCUCACGAAAGCAAUGUUUUCUUUAA